This 253-nucleotide ribosomal RNA is filed under the name uncultured bacterium. RNAcentral describes it as "partial 16S ribosomal RNA". It matches the Rfam family "Bacterial small subunit ribosomal RNA", at positions 524 to 776 of the family's 1533-position model. The record is from RNAcentral.
UACGUAGGGUCCGAGCGUUGUCCGGAAUUAUUUGGCGUAAAGGGCUCGUAGGCGGUCCGUCAAGUCGGCUGUGAAAUCUCAGGGCUCAACCCUGAGCUUGCAGUCGAUACUGGCGGACUUGAGGCAGGUAGGGGAGAGUGGAAUUCCCGGUGUAGCGGUGAAAUGCGCAGAUAUCGGGAGGAACACCAGUAGCGAAGGCGGCUCUCUGGGCCUGUCCUGACGCUGAGGAGCGAAAGCGUGGGUAGCAAACAGG